GGGGACGUAGCUCAACUGGUAGAGCGCAACGCUGGCAGCGUUGAGGUAAGGGGUUCGACCCCCCUCGUCUCCACCA
This 76-nucleotide transfer RNA is filed under the name bacterium. RNAcentral's name for it is "tRNA-Ala". It matches the Rfam family "tRNA". From Rfam's summary of the family: Transfer RNA (tRNA) molecules are approximately 80 nucleotides in length. Their secondary structure includes four short double-helical elements and three loops (D, anti-codon, and T loops). RNAcentral also lists the same sequence under 8 other names. The record is from RNAcentral.